CCACAAACUUACAUAACAGGAAGCCAAUAAGCACAAACAAUAUCACAAACAGUCUACAUACAUACACAUAACAUCACAUACAGCCCCAUACACAUAAAUACCACAAACAAUAUGCACACAGGUAGCCCAUAAUCCAACACACAAUACAACAAACAGAGCUUGCUCCAGCAACCCCACAAACAUUCUACAUAUAUGUAAUACCGCAAAC
This is a non-coding RNA of Pelobates cultripes (western spadefoot toad), 208 nucleotides long. NCBI's taxonomy places the organism in Eukaryota, Metazoa, Chordata, Amphibia, Anura, Pelobatidae. The record is from the annotation of a GenBank genome assembly.